Molecule: non-coding RNA, 428 nt
Organism: Drosophila melanogaster (fruit fly)
Lineage: Eukaryota; Metazoa; Arthropoda; Insecta; Diptera; Drosophilidae
Source: Ensembl
GGCAUUUGAAGAGUUCGAAGAGGGUAACUAGUUCAGUUGUAAUCAAGUUAAUUAUCAAACUUAAUUGAAUAGGAAUAUGGGGCGAAGUAUAUGUGGCAAUUUGUGAUACAAUAAGUGAAGCAGGACAAAGGAAAAUCAAAACUCAAUAUGGGAUGAAAGCAACACAACGAUAAACGUUAACGAAAGUAUAAUAUUUCGUUACCUGGAAUUCAAUUCAACAUGCAGUUUAAAAAGAAUACUGUACAAAGGAUUCAUUAAAAAUGCGCUUAUUAAAAUUUGAUUAAAAGCUAUUUUAUAUUUAAGCUAAUUGGUUUAACUUCUCGCCGGUUUAGUAAUUUGUAGAAACGAUAAAAGAAAAUAGUGUAUAAGGCAACAGCGCCAAAAAAAUGUUUUCUAAAACAUUUAUAUACCCCAUUUAUAAAUAAUAG